ACGGAUGUGGCUCAAUUGGAAGAGCAGCGGUCUCCAAAACCGCCGAUUGCAGGUUCGAGUCCUGUCAUCCGUGCCA
RNAcentral lists this transfer RNA (76 nucleotides) under Mycobacterium sp. ST-F2. RNAcentral describes it as "tRNA-Trp". It matches the Rfam family "tRNA". From Rfam's summary of the family: Transfer RNA (tRNA) molecules are approximately 80 nucleotides in length. Their secondary structure includes four short double-helical elements and three loops (D, anti-codon, and T loops). Further hydrogen bonds mediate the characteristic L-shaped molecular structure. tRNAs have two regions of fundamental functional importance: the anti-codon, which is responsible for specific mRNA codon recognition, and the 3' end, to which the tRNAs corresponding amino acid is attached (by aminoacyl-tRNA synthetases). tRNAs cope with the degeneracy of the genetic code in two manners: having more than one tRNA (with a specific anti-codon) for a particular amino acid; and 'wobble' base-pairing, i.e. permitting non-standard base-pairing at the 3rd anti-codon position. The record is from RNAcentral. Lineage: Bacteria; Bacillati; Actinomycetota; Actinomycetes; Mycobacteriales; Mycobacteriaceae.